UUUAUGGAGAGUUUGAUCCUGGCUCAGGAUGAACGCUGGCGGCGUGCCUAAUACAUGCAAGUCGAGCGAACGGACGAGAAGCUUGCUUCUCUGAUGUUAGCGGCGGACGGGUGAGUAACACGUGGAUAACCUACCUAUAAGACUGGGAUAACUUCGGGAAACCGGAGCUAAUACCGGAUAAUAUUUUGAACCGCAUGAUUCAAAAGUGAAAGACGGUCUUGCUGUCACUUAUAGAUGGAUC
RNAcentral lists this ribosomal RNA (241 nucleotides) under Staphylococcus aureus. RNAcentral describes it as "partial 16S ribosomal RNA". It matches the Rfam family "Bacterial small subunit ribosomal RNA", at positions 1 to 231 of the family's 1533-position model. Lineage: Bacteria; Bacillati; Bacillota; Bacilli; Caryophanales; Staphylococcaceae. The record is from RNAcentral.